Molecule: ribosomal RNA, 329 nt
Filed under: uncultured crenarchaeote
Lineage: Archaea; Thermoproteati; Thermoproteota
Description: bacterial SSU rRNA
Rfam family: Archaeal small subunit ribosomal RNA
Source: RNAcentral
UCAGAGUGAGAUUAAGCCAUGCGAGUUAACGUAGCAAUACGUGGCGCACGGCUCAGUAACACGUAGUCAACAUGCCCAGAGGACGUGGAUAACCUCGGGAAACUGAGUCUAAACCGCGAUAAGUGAGGAUUUCUGGAAUGGUUCCUGACUAAAAUCUAUAUGGCCUCUGGAUUGGACUGCGGCCGAUCAGGCUGUUGGUGAGGUAAUGGCCCACCAAACCUGUAACCGGUACGGGCUCUGAGAGGAGGAGCCCGGAGAUGGGCACUGAGACAAGGGCCCAGGCCCUAUGGGGCGCAGCAGGCGCGAAACCUCUGCAAUAGGCGAAAGCC